GAUGAACGCUGGCGGCGUGCCUAAUACAUGCAAGUCGAGCGAACAGACCAGGAGCUUGCUCCUCUGAUGUUUGCGGCGGACGGGUGAGUAACACGUGUAUACCCUACCUAUAUUACUGGGAUAACUUCGGGAAACCGGAGCUAACACCGGAUAACAUGUUGAACCGCAUGGUUCAACAGUAAAAGUCGGUCUUGCUGUCACUUAUAGAUGGAUCCGGGCCGCUUUAGCUAGUUGUUAAGGUAACGGCUUAUCAAGGCAACGAUGCGUAGCCGACCUGAGAGGGUGAUAGGCCACACUGGAACUGAGACACGGUCCAGACGCCUACGGGAGGCAGCAGUAGGGAAUCGUCCGCAAUGGGCGAAAGCCUGACGGAGCAACGCCGCGUGAGUGAAGAAGGUCUUCGGAGCGUAAAACUCUGUUAUUAGGGAAGAACAAAUGUGUAAGUAACUAUGCACGUCUUGACGGUACCUAAUCAGAAAGCCACGGCUAACUACGUG
This 497-nucleotide ribosomal RNA is filed under the name uncultured bacterium. Its description in RNAcentral is "partial 16S ribosomal RNA". It matches the Rfam family "Bacterial small subunit ribosomal RNA", at positions 28 to 507 of the family's 1533-position model. The record is from RNAcentral.